This 225-nucleotide long non-coding RNA is filed under the name Elaeis guineensis (African oil palm). RNAcentral describes it as "long non-coding RNA (EGUI_LNC019024)". Lineage: Eukaryota; Viridiplantae; Streptophyta; Magnoliopsida; Arecales; Arecaceae. The record is from RNAcentral.
UGGUGGGAUGGGCCGAAAUAUAAGUAACUAGGUUGGGCUUGAGUCAAAAGAUAUGGACCUAAUUUCAAGUUGGGCAGGGCUCAUAGCUCAGGCGGCCCUAGCUAAUAGGAACCAAUCAAAUUUGUAUCAGUUUAGACUCUCUCCAAUCUGAACUGAAGAAGGUCUCCAAUCAUGGCCUUUUAUGUGGUGACCACAGAUAAUGCUCUGUGUAGGGGCCAUUCAAUC